AUACGGAGGGUGCAAGCGUUAUCCGGAAUCAUUGGGUUUAAAGGGUCCGUAGGCGGAUAAUUAAGUCAGGGGUGAAAUCCCACAGCUCAACUGUGGCACUGCCUUUGAUACUGGUUAUCUUGAGUUAUCGGGAAGUAGAUAGAAUAUGUAGUGUAGCGGUGAAAUGCAUAGAUAUUACAUAGAAUACCGAUUGCGAAGGCAGUCUACUAUCUGUAUACUGACGCUAAGGGACGAAAGCGUGGGGAGCGAACAGAAUUAGAUACCCUAGUAGUCC
RNAcentral lists this ribosomal RNA (274 nucleotides) under uncultured bacterium. RNAcentral's name for it is "partial 16S ribosomal RNA". It matches the Rfam family "Bacterial small subunit ribosomal RNA", at positions 523 to 796 of the family's 1533-position model. The record is from RNAcentral.